GCACCAAGGAGGGAGAGGUAGAAACAAAGCCAAUGAGUGAGGAAAGGGAUACAGGUGUUUGCAAUCAGGGAAAGGGUCAAUAAAUGCCCUACAACUCCAACCUGUUGUGCUGGUUCUGCUGCAGGAAGGGGAGCACUGGAGCUGAAGUUGAACCUAUGGAGGAGGACUCGUCUGGAGAACUAAGUGAAGUGAUUCUGGAUGGCCAGUCCUUUAGACAUCAGUUCAGCCUGGUGUUUGGCUCUGCCCCUCUUGGUGUCAAAGAAGUGUCAGCUUGUUAUGAUCCAUUUUCUCCCAUCUGGUGAGAGGGUGCUUGUCAUGGAGAAGCUGUUCCUAUGAGCUGGCAGGCAGAGGAGGGAAGAACUUGGUGCCAUAGAGGAGCAGCUUCAAUUAAUGGUGCUGUGCUCUGUCCUGGUCUUCGAUGCUGUCUGCUCUCUGCAGUCACCAAGUUUGCAGUGUGGUGAUCCUGCCCCAUAAGCAAGGUGUGCUGAUGGAGUCACAUAGUUGUGACAGUGAAAAGGGUGGGGACUGUCUCUCCCCUUUUGCACUGAGGAUGAAUAACUUCUUCUGCAGAACUUUUGAAAGAGGUAUUUCACCUCUUUGGAAGUCUUUCAGUUGGGUCUACGGAGGAACGUUGUAUUGUUGGAAAUAGUCUUAUGCAUUUAGGUAAGAAAUUGAAAAUCUGGACCACUGUUGUGAUCCCUGGUUUGCUCUGGGCCCAUUGUUACUUGUGCUGGUAUGCUGGUACCCAUGUUGCUGUCUUGGCUUCCAGCAGUGUAACUCAUGGCUGCAGCAGGUGGAUACCAGCAGCAAGUUGAAGUUACCUCCAUUAGGUGAUGCUUGGCUGGUGAAGUCUGUGCUUGACCAAACCAGGAAUGCAAUGUGAAAUACUUCAACAGUGACUUCCAAACGUGAACCUUGAUGCAGCGGUGCUAAAACUUCCUCACCUGAGGAGUCUCCUCUACCUGCUGGGAGGAGCUACUUGAAAGGGCCCACCAGAUGAACGCUUUGCUUAUCAGUGCCCCAUCCCAGCUGCAUGCAGUUGUGCCAUGGUCCUGCUGCCCUGCACAGGGUGGUCUCCCACCCUAAUAUUGGCUGGAGGUACCUGGGGGGAGGGCUGACCCCAUUCACUCCAUCCCUGAACCCACUGUGCAUUGGGAGAAAUGGGCUGUGUGCCAGAGGAAGCACAAAGAGGGGAGAUUAAGUGACACCGAGAGCAGUAUUAAAGUUAAUGAGGAAGCAGUGUUCUAUUAAACCUAAAGCAGUCGGAGGAAAAGCAUAUGUAGCACCGCUGGAAUUUCUUGGAAGUUGAGUUACUGUCACAGAUAAUCUCCUGUUGUGCUGGUGAUUAAAGACUCGUUUUAUUCUGGGCGAGGUGGUCAUAGCCGCCCCCUUCCUGUGCAAAUCCCAGCUCAGGUGGCUGAUCAAUAUUGAUGUAUCCUGAUUUAGUGCUUUUAAAGUGUGUUGUUUUGGUAAAGUUGCCUAUGGAAAGCGAUUUUUUUUAAAUUAUUUUGCUCGAGACAGUGCCUGUGUACACAGCCCGCGUGCAGCACUACGCGGUGUGAUUCGGUCUUCAGCGGUUAACUCUCUCAAAAGUGAAUAAUGACGAAAACGACUGUUUUCAGCAGCAGCCGC
Non-coding RNA from Meleagris gallopavo (turkey), 1632 nucleotides. Lineage: Eukaryota; Metazoa; Chordata; Aves; Galliformes; Phasianidae. The record is from RefSeq and is a predicted model, not a curated record.